UAUAAAAUUUGGGAGACAGAUGGAUACUGUUGGCGACUAUGAGUACCAGGUUGGGUUGAUUGAAUGCUUAUUCAGAAUUGUUCCUAAGAAAUUUCGUCCAAAGUUUGCCACACAUUUGUUUAAUAAUGCACUGUUAUUGAAACAAUUCCUUGAUAUAAGGGACCAAGACUUUGAAACUGAUUGCAGAACUUUUCUGAAUGUUUACAACAAUGAUGCAAGUCGAAAACAAAG
Pecten maximus is the source of this 231-nucleotide long non-coding RNA. RefSeq lists it as uncharacterized. The transcript has 3 exons. NCBI's taxonomy places the organism in Eukaryota, Metazoa, Mollusca, Bivalvia, Pectinida, Pectinidae. The record is from RefSeq and is a predicted model, not a curated record.